GCAGACCAUUCUAAAACCCCUCUUCUUGCAUCCUGAGAACUCUCUAGUAUCUCUCUAGUUGUACUUUGCGUUUUCUAUUAGCCCUCCUCUUCUCUCUUUUUUUUUUUCACUUCAUCAAAUAAAAUUCAUUCACCUAAACCCUAUGGUCGACGGAGCCAAAGCCAAAGGCAACGCAACCUUCUCCUCUGGCGGCAAUUCACCACUUCUCUGAUGCCAUCGCCUUGGCCUCUACCAGCCAUGUCCUCUAUUCCAAUCGAUCUGCCGCAUACACUUCUCUCAAAAACUACAUCGAGAAGAAGGGAAUAUAUAAGAAGAGCGGCGGAGCUAAAGGAGUAAGCAUAGUAGACGAGAAAGGAGAGGAAGAGAAUCAAAAGAAAGUAAGCAAGCAGGAAAGGGGAACAAGCAGUUGUUGAGGCCUGGCACCGGUCCCAAGCCAAUUCUCGGUUAGAACAUCACCAUUCACUGCACUGGUUUCGAAUAUUGAGAAAGGGCAGAAGUACAAAGUAGUCUUCUAUGCUAAAGCAGAUGGUGCAAUUAAUCUAGACGUUUCAUUUGUUGGAUCGGAGAAAGGUGAAAAGUUGGCUUCAAAUGGAGAGUUGCCUCCAGGAGCUGGAGUUAUUCCUAGGGCUGUCAAGCAGAUUUUUGACACAUUUGAGAGCCAGAAUGCUGAGUACAGUGUGAAGGUCACCUUUUUGGAAUUGUAUAAUGAAGAAAUCACUGAUUUGCUUGCCCCGGAGGAAAUAAGUUUGUCUUUUCUUUAUUUAUAUUUAUGAUAUAUUAAAUUCCUUUUCAUAUAGGGAUGUGGCGGGGGUUUUAUUAGAAUUAUCUAAGGAGUUCAAUAUUAAAAAUUUUCUCCUUGUACUUUUGGACUCCCUGAUUGACUACAGGUGUGCUUCCUAUGAUUGUCCUUCAGGAGAUAUAUGCUUUAAGUAAUAUCUUAUAGAAGCUUGUGUUUUGUGCUGAUAAAUGGAAAGAUGUAAUAUUAUUAAUGAUGUCUCUUAGAACUCUUGAAGGCUCUUUUAAGCCAACACAUUAUCUUUUAUUUCAAUAUAUAUAUAUUAUUUUCUACCGUCUUAA
This is a long non-coding RNA of Glycine soja, 1077 nucleotides long. RefSeq lists it as uncharacterized. Lineage: Eukaryota; Viridiplantae; Streptophyta; Magnoliopsida; Fabales; Fabaceae. The record is from RefSeq and is a predicted model, not a curated record. The transcript is spliced from 2 exons.